RNAcentral lists this ribosomal RNA (425 nucleotides) under uncultured bacterium. RNAcentral describes it as "partial 16S ribosomal RNA". It matches the Rfam family "Bacterial small subunit ribosomal RNA", at positions 354 to 796 of the family's 1533-position model. The record is from RNAcentral.
GUGGGGAAUAUUGGACAAUGGGCGCAAGCCUGAUCCAGCCAUGCCGCGUGAGUGAUGAAGGCCCUAGGGUUGUAAAGCUCUUUCACCGGUGAAGAUAAUGACGGUAACCGGAGAAGAAGCCCCGGCUAACUUCGUGCCAGCAGCCGCGGUAAUCCGAAGGGGGCUAGCGUUGUUCGGAAUUACUGGGCGGAAAGCGCACGUAGGCGGGUAUUUAAGUCAGGGGUGAAAUCCCGGAGCUCAACUCCGGAACUGCCUUUGAUACUGGGUACCUAGAGUAUGGAAGAGGUAAGUGGAAUUCCGAGUGUAGAGGUGAAAUUCGUAGAUAUUCGGAGGAACACCAGUGGCGAAGGCGGCUUACUGGUCCAUUACUGACGCUGAGGUGCGAAAGCGUGGGGAGCAAACAGGAUUAGAAACCCUGGUAGUCC